UGAGUACGAGUUUGAUCCGUGGCUACAGGACGAACGCUGGCGGCGUGCCUAACACAUGCAAGUCGAACGGGGUAAUUCCUUCGGGGAUUACUUAGUGGCGAACGGGUGAGUAACGCGUGAGGAACCUGCCUUUCAGUGGGGGACAACAGUUGGAAACGACUGCUAAUACCGCAUAAUGUUGUCGGAUGGCAUCAUCUGGCAACCAAAGCUUUAUGUGCUGAAAGAUGGCCUCGCGUCUGAUUAGAUAGUUGGUGAGGUAACGGCUCACCAAGUCGACGAUCAGUAGCCGGACUGAGAGGUUGAACGGCCACAUUGGGACUGAGAUACGGCCCAGACUCCUACGGGAGGCAGCAGUGGGGAAUAUUGGGCAAUGGGGGAAACCCUGACCCAGCAACGCCGCGUGAAGGAAGAAGGCCUUCGGGUUGUAAACUUCUUUUAGCAGGGACGAAGGACGUGACGGUACCUGCAGAAAAAGCAACGGCUAACUACGUG
This 492-nucleotide ribosomal RNA is filed under the name uncultured bacterium. RNAcentral's name for it is "bacterial SSU rRNA". It matches the Rfam family "Bacterial small subunit ribosomal RNA", at positions 1 to 507 of the family's 1533-position model. The record is from RNAcentral.